UACGUAGGGUGCGAGCGUUGUCCGGAAUUAUUGGGCGUAAAGAGCUUGUAGGCGGUUUGUCGCGUCUGCUGUGAAAACUCGAGGCUUAACCUCGAGCUGUCGGCGGAAACCAUCUGGCUAGAGUCCGGAAGAGGAGAAUGGAAUUCCCGGUGUAGCGGUGAAAUGCGCAGAUAUCGGGAAGAACACCCGUGGCGAAGGCGGUUCUCUGGGCAUUACCUGACGCUGAGGAGCGAAAGUGUGGGGAGCGAACAGG
RNAcentral lists this ribosomal RNA (253 nucleotides) under uncultured bacterium. RNAcentral's name for it is "partial 16S ribosomal RNA". It matches the Rfam family "Bacterial small subunit ribosomal RNA", at positions 524 to 776 of the family's 1533-position model. The record is from RNAcentral.